AAGUGUAAUUCUUAGGUGGAGAAUUGAAGAAAUGGAGGAAGAAUUGCAGAAAACACAGCGCUCAUUUAGAAACCAGAUUGCUGCUCAGGAAAAAAAACUGCAUGCUAACUGGGUAAAAUUUCAUGCUGCAGAAAAGGCUAUAGCUGAAGAGAAAAGGGAAGUCGCUGACCUGAGACACAAGUAAGUG
This is a long non-coding RNA of Galeopterus variegatus (Sunda flying lemur), 187 nucleotides long. RefSeq lists it as uncharacterized. The transcript is spliced from 3 exons. The record is from RefSeq and is a predicted model, not a curated record. Lineage: Eukaryota; Metazoa; Chordata; Mammalia; Dermoptera; Cynocephalidae.